GACAGAGGGUGCAAACGUUGCUCGGAAUCACUGGGCGUAAAGGGCGUGUAGGCGGGAAGGAAAGUCAGAUGUGAAAGCCCUGGGCUCAACCCAGGAACUGCAUUUGAAACUCCCUUUCUUGAGUGUCGGAGAGGAAAGCGGAAUUCCUGGUGUAGAGGUGAAAUGUGUUGAUAUCGGAAGGAACGCCGGUGGCGAAAGCGGCACACUGGAUCUCAACUGACGCUGAGGCACGAAAGCCAGGGGAGCGAACGGG
RNAcentral lists this ribosomal RNA (253 nucleotides) under uncultured bacterium. Its description in RNAcentral is "partial 16S ribosomal RNA". It matches the Rfam family "Bacterial small subunit ribosomal RNA", at positions 524 to 776 of the family's 1533-position model. The record is from RNAcentral.